UUCCGGUUGAUCCUGCCGGAGGUUACUGCUAUCGAGGUUCGACUAAGCCAUGCGAGUCGAAUGUAGCAAUACAUGGCGUACUGCUCAGUAACACGUGGACAACCUACCCUUGAGACGGGGAUAAACCCGUGAAACUGGGUAUAAUACCCGAUAGAUCUCGAAUGCUGGAAUGCAUCGAGAUCCAAAGCUCCGGCGCUCAAGGAUGGGUCUGCGGCCUAUCAGGUAGUAGUGGGUGUAGCGCACCUACUAACCUACGACGGGUACGGGUUGUGAGAGCAAGAGCCCGGAGAUGGAUUCUGAGACACGAAUCCAGGCCCUACGGGGUGCAGCAGGCGCGAAAACUUUACAAUGCCGGCAACGGCGAUAAGGGGACCUCGAGUGCCAGGUUACAAAUCUGGCUGUCGUGAUGCCUAAAAAAGCAUUGCAUAGCACGGGCCGGGGCAAGACCGGUGCCAGCCCGCCGCGGUAACACCGGCGGCUCGAGUGGUAACCGUUAUUAUUGGGUCUAAAGGGUCUGUAGCCGGCCGGAUAAGUCUCUUGGGAAAUCUGGCAGCUUAACUGUCAGGCUUUCAGGAGAUACUGUCUGGCUCGAGGCCGGGAGAGGUGAGAGGUACUUCAGGGGUAGGGGUGAAAUCUUGUAAUCCUUGAAGGACCACCAGUGGCGAAGGCGUCUCACCAGAACGGACCUGACGGCAAGGGACGAAAGCUAGGGGCACGAACCGGAUUAGAUACCCGGGUAGUCCUAGCCGUAAACGAUACUCGCUAGGUGUCGGCCACGGUGCGACCGUUGUCGGUGCCGUAGGGAAGCCGUGAAGCGAGCCACCUGGGAAGUACGGCCGCAAGGCUGAAACUUAAAGGAAUUGGCGGGGGAGCAC
Molecule: ribosomal RNA, 875 nt
Filed under: euryarchaeote enrichment culture clone 61-7F
Lineage: Archaea; Methanobacteriati; Methanobacteriota
Description: bacterial SSU rRNA
Rfam family: Archaeal small subunit ribosomal RNA
Source: RNAcentral